Molecule: long non-coding RNA, 430 nt
Filed under: Parus major (Great Tit)
Lineage: Eukaryota; Metazoa; Chordata; Aves; Passeriformes; Paridae
Description: lncRNA (ENSPMJG00000012660.1)
Source: RNAcentral
GCGUAGGCGGUACUGUUAGCGAGCCUGCGGUGCGCAGCCCUCCCGCUGCCGCCGCCCCGGGCAGCCCGCGCCGGGCAGUCGCGACCGAGCGGCGAGUCGCAAUUGGCGUCUGUGGCUUAGGCGAGAGCAGAGCGUAUCGCGUGUGCAGACUACUAGAAUGCAAAAUUCUUCUCUCGAUGUAGAUGAUUUGCUCAAAAGAUUAACUUGGUCUUUCUGAGGAAAACAAAUGCAUCAGCACAUCUAUUCUCAAAGGUUCAAAGCAGCAGUGGCAAAUGAACCAAAGUAAGAGGUUGCCAUCUCCACAGUGAUAUUGCAUCUAAACCCUGGCUACCAAAUCAAGCUUGCUGGUAUAGUGCUGAAUUUUGCCUCUGGUGAGCGUGAUCAGCCUGAGAGAAGUGGAAUCUUUUGGGAAAGGUGGGGAGCUCUCUGU